AUGAAAAUGAAAUCGGAGGAGACCGGGGCGGAGCUCUUCUACUACUUGGUGGAGUCGGAGCGGAGCCCCGGCGCGGACCCCGUGCUCCUCUGGCUCACCGGCGGGCCUCGCUGCUCCGGCUUCAGCGGCCUCGUCUUCGAAGUCGGCCCCUUGAAGUACGUGCUGGCGCCUAGCCGCAGCUGGUAUACAACCCCUUGUCAUGGACCAAGGUGA
Molecule: ribosomal RNA, 213 nt
Filed under: Triticum aestivum (bread wheat)
Lineage: Eukaryota; Viridiplantae; Streptophyta; Magnoliopsida; Poales; Poaceae
Description: partial small subunit ribosomal RNA
Source: RNAcentral